This 120-nucleotide non-coding RNA is filed under the name Symbiodinium sp. CCMP2430. Lineage: Eukaryota; Dinophyceae; Suessiales; Symbiodiniaceae. The record is from RNAcentral.
CGAGAUCGAAGGUCUGCGAGCAGAGUUAGAUGUUUUGCGAGCACUUCUUGACGAAGGCCUGCAGCAGAGACAGGAUGCUGAGCGCUCCCAAAAUGCAUUGAUCUCCAGAGUGGAGCAGCU